Molecule: ribosomal RNA, 206 nt
Filed under: uncultured bacterium
Lineage: Bacteria
Description: partial 16S ribosomal RNA
Rfam family: Bacterial small subunit ribosomal RNA
Source: RNAcentral
CGCGUAGGCGGAUAUUUAAGUCGGGGUGAAAGCCCAGGGCUCAACCCUGGAAUAGCCUUCGAUACUGGAUAUCUUGAGUACGGGAGAGGUGAGUGGAACUCCGAGUGUAGAGGUGAAAUUCGUAGAUAUUCGGAAGAACACCAGUGGCGAAGGCGACUCACUGGCCCGUUACUGACGCUGAGGCGCGAAAGCGUGGGGAGCAAACA